RNAcentral lists this small nucleolar RNA (118 nucleotides) under Triticum aestivum (bread wheat). RNAcentral describes it as "Small nucleolar RNA snoR104". It matches the Rfam family "Small nucleolar RNA snoR104". RNAcentral also lists the same sequence under 1 other name. Lineage: Eukaryota; Viridiplantae; Streptophyta; Magnoliopsida; Poales; Poaceae. The record is from Rfam by way of RNAcentral.
AGGUAGCAUCCAAAAGAUAAGAUGCCUACCCGAUAUAGUCUUCCUAGAGUAAAAUUGUCAUUUCCUGCUUGUGAUAUUGUAAGCAAGUUCUACAAGUCUCAAGUGACAAGAUAGCUUC